AGCAAAGAAGUGGAAAGUCUCAGCAAAGCAAUAGAAGACAUAAAAAGAACCAAAUGGAAAAAUUUAGAACUGAAAAAAAUCUAUAACAGACAU
Non-coding RNA from Ceratotherium simum simum (southern white rhinoceros), 93 nucleotides. The record is from RefSeq and is a predicted model, not a curated record. Lineage: Eukaryota; Metazoa; Chordata; Mammalia; Perissodactyla; Rhinocerotidae.